Molecule: ribosomal RNA, 119 nt
Filed under: Pteropus alecto (black flying fox)
Lineage: Eukaryota; Metazoa; Chordata; Mammalia; Chiroptera; Pteropodidae
Source: RNAcentral
GUCUAUGGCCAUGCCGCCCCAAACGAGCCCGAUCUCAUGUGAUCUCAGAAGCUAAGCAAGGUUGGGCCUGGUUAGUACUUGGAUGGGAGACCACCGAGGAAGACCAGGUGCUGUAGGCA